GAUGAACGCUGGCGGCGUGCCUAAUACAUGCAAGUCGAGCGAACAGAUGAGGAGCUUGCUCCUCUGACGUUAGCGGCGGACGGGUGAGUAACACGUGGAUAACCUACCUAUAAGACUGGGAUAACUUCGGGAAACCGGAGCUAAUACCGGAUAAUAUAUUGAACCGCAUGGUUCAAUAGUGAAAGACGGUUUUGCUGUCACUUAUAGAUGGAUCCGCGCCGCAUUAGCUAGUUGGUAAGGUAACGGCUUACCAAGGCAACGAUGCGUAGCCGACCUGAGAGGGUGAUCGGCCACACUGGAACUGAGACACGGUCCAGACUCCUACGGGAGGCAGCAGUAGGGAAUCUGCCGCAAUAGGCGAAAGCCUGACGGAGCAACGCCGCGUGAGUGAUGAAGGUCUUCGGAUCGUAAAACUCUGUUAUUAGGGAAGAACAAAUGUGUAAGUAACUAUGCACGUCUUGACGGUACCUAAUCAGAAAGCCACGGCUAACUACGUG
RNAcentral lists this ribosomal RNA (497 nucleotides) under uncultured bacterium. RNAcentral's name for it is "partial 16S ribosomal RNA". It matches the Rfam family "Bacterial small subunit ribosomal RNA", at positions 28 to 507 of the family's 1533-position model. The record is from RNAcentral.